UCCCUGAAGGGUCGUCGAAGACUACGACGUUGAUAGGCGGGGUGUGUAAGUGCAGUAAUGCAUUAAGCUAACCCGUACUAAUAGCCCGUGAGGCUUGAUCAU
This 102-nucleotide ribosomal RNA is filed under the name Arenicellales bacterium. Its description in RNAcentral is "partial 23S ribosomal RNA". It matches the Rfam family "Bacterial large subunit ribosomal RNA", at positions 2824 to 2925 of the family's 2925-position model. The record is from RNAcentral. Lineage: Bacteria; Pseudomonadati; Pseudomonadota; Gammaproteobacteria; Arenicellales.